RNAcentral lists this ribosomal RNA (497 nucleotides) under uncultured bacterium. Its description in RNAcentral is "partial 16S ribosomal RNA". It matches the Rfam family "Bacterial small subunit ribosomal RNA", at positions 28 to 507 of the family's 1533-position model. The record is from RNAcentral.
GAUGAACGCUGGCGGCGUGCCUAAUACAUGCAAGUCGAGCGAACAGACGAGGAGCUUGCUCCUCUGACGUUAGCGGCGGACGGGUGAGUAACACGUGGAUAACCUACCUAUAAGACUGGGAUAACUUCGGGAAACCGGAGCUAAUACCGGAUAAUAUAUUGAACCGCAUGGUUCAAUAGUAAAAGACGGUUUUGCUGUCACUUAUAGAUGGAUCCGCGCCGCAUUAGCUAGUUGGUAAGGUAAAGGCUUACCAAGGCGACGAUGCGUAGCCGACCUGAGAGGGUGAUCGGCCACACUGGAACUGAGACACGGUCCAGACUCCUACGGGAGGCAGCAGUAGGGAAUCUUCCGCAAUGGGCGAAAGCCUGACGGAGCAACGCCGCGUGAGUGAUGAAGGUCUUCGGAUCGUAAAACUCUGUAAUUAGGGAAGAACAAAUGUGUAAGUAACUAUGCACGUCUUGACGGUACCUAAUCAGAAAGCCACGGCUAACUACGUG